UGCGUAGGUGGCGCGUUAAGUCCGUUGUGAAAUCCCUUGGCUCAACCAAGGAACUGCUUCGGAUACUGGCGUGCUUGAGGCUAGUAGGGGUCACUGGAACUGACGGUGGAGCGGUGAAAUGCGUAGAUAUCGUCAGGAACGCCGAUGGUGAAGACAGGUGACUGGGCUAGUUCUGACACUGAGGACAAAGCUGGGGAGCGGAA
RNAcentral lists this ribosomal RNA (203 nucleotides) under uncultured bacterium. Its description in RNAcentral is "partial 16S ribosomal RNA". The stretch from base 3 to 184 matches the Rfam family "Bacterial small subunit ribosomal RNA", at positions 570 to 751 of the family's 1533-position model. The record is from RNAcentral.